AGAGUUUGAUUCUGGCUCAGAACGAACGCUGGCAGCGUGGAUUAGGCAUGCAAGUCGAACGGGAAGCCGUUGAUCAAUCCUCGGAGAGUGAUUCGGUGGAGAGUGGCGAAAGGGUGAGUAACGCGUGUAUAAGCUGCCCUUAAGUUGGGGACAACACUGGGAAACUGGUGCUAAUACCGAAUGUGGUCUUCUAACGCAUGUUAGGAUGACUAAAGGUGGGGAUCCUUCGGGACCUGCCGCUUGAGGAGGCAUACGCGUGCCAUUAGCUUGUUGGUGAGGUAACGGCCCACCAAGGCUCAUGGCUAGCUGGUCUGAGAGGAUGAUCAGCCACACUGGGACUGAGACACUGCCCAGACUCCUACGGGAGGCUGCAGUCGAGGAUCAUUCGCGAUGCGCGAAAGCGUGACGAUGCGACGCUGCGUGGAGGAUGACGGCCUUCGGGUUGUAAACUCCUGUCAUUCGGGAAAAAUGGCCCUAUAUCGAUAAAGUAUGGGGUGUGAUGUACCGGAAGAGGAAGCCACGGCUAACUCUGUGCCAGCAGCCGCGGUAAUACAGAGGUGGCGAGCGUUGUUCGGAUUUACUGGGCGUAAAGCGUGUGUAGGCGGUUUCGUAUGUCGGAUGUGAAAGCCCAUGGCUCAACUAUGGAAUUGCAUCCGAAACUGCGGGACUAGAGUACAGUAGGGGAGAGCGGAAUUCUAGGUGUAGCGGUGAAAUGAGUUGAUAUCUAGAAGAACACCGGUGGCGAAGGCGGCUCUCUGGAAUGUUACUGACGCUGAGACACGAAAGUCGGGGGAGCAAACAGGAUUAGAUACCCUGGUAGUCCCGACCGUAAACGGUGUGCACUUGGUGUGGGGGGUAUUGACCCCCCCCGUGCCGGAGCUAACGCGUUAAGUGCACCGCCUGGGGAGUACGGCCGCAAGGCUAAAACUCAAAGAAAUUGACGGGGGCCCGCACAAGCGGAGGAGCAUGUGGCUUAAUUCGAUGCAACGCGAAGAACCUUACCUGGACUUGACAUGGUACUGCACGCCCGCUGAAAGGCGGGAAGCCUUCGAGGGUAUAUCACAGGUGCUGCAUGGCUGUCGUCAGUUCGUGCCGUGAGGUGUUGGGUUAAGUCCCGCAACGAACGCAACCCUUGUGGUUAGUUGCCACCGCAGGUGAUGAGCCUGCGAGCACUCUAGCCAGACUGCCCGUACAAGCGGGAGGAAGGUGGGGAUGACGUCAAGUCAGUACGGCCCUUACGUCCAGGGCUGCACACGUGCUACAAUGGUCGGUACAGUGGGAAGCAAUACCGCGAGGUGGAGCAAAUCCCCAAAACCGGCCCCAGUUCGGAUUGGAGUCUGCAACUCGACUCCAUGAAGUCGGAUUCGCUAGUAACGGCGUAUCAGCUACGACGCCGUGAAUACGUUCCCGGGCCUUGUACACACCGCCCGUCACAUCAUGAAAGCCGUCUGCACCCGAAGUCGCUGAGCUAACCCGCAAGGGAGGCAGGUGCCGAAGGUGUGGGUGGUGAUUGGGAUGAAGUCGGAACAAGGUA
RNAcentral lists this ribosomal RNA (1534 nucleotides) under metagenome. RNAcentral's name for it is "bacterial SSU rRNA". It matches the Rfam family "Bacterial small subunit ribosomal RNA". The record is from RNAcentral.